Long non-coding RNA from Salvelinus namaycush (lake trout), 2025 nucleotides. RefSeq lists it as uncharacterized. The record is from RefSeq and is a predicted model, not a curated record. The transcript has 2 exons. NCBI's taxonomy places the organism in Eukaryota, Metazoa, Chordata, Actinopteri, Salmoniformes, Salmonidae.
GGCUGUGAUGUGGGAGGGGCUUAACAGGGAUGUGGCUGGGGCAUGGGAGGGGCUUAACGGGGAUGUGGCUGGGAUGUGGGAGGGGCUUGGUCCAUCCAGCCCCAUUCUACUGUAUGUUAGACUCCAGGUGUUUUUAACCAGUCAAUAACCAGUCAACACACGGUGGUCUCAUUUGUUCUCUAUAUGGAAAAGAGAAAGGGUCUGAUUGUGAAAGUGGGAGAUUGUUGUCCUCCUCCAAAUACUGUACUCUACUUGUGUGAAGGGUGGUUCUGUGUAAAAAAAGAGGGAAAAAAAGUGUAUUCAUUUGAAGUGAUGUUUUUCUUGUACAGUACCUCCCUUCCGCCCAGUCACGUGACUUAGUGCUUACGUCCCAAACAACACCUUAUUCCCUAUACAGUGCACUACCUUUGAGCAAAAGUAGAGUCCUAUGGGCCCUGUUCAAAUUAGUGCACUGUAUAGGAAAUAGGUCGUUUUUUGGGGGACCGAUCCAAGAUGUACAGAGCAAUUUACAACACUAUACUGUAUUAGUAUGUAGUCAUUUGAAUGUUUUCUUUUGUUGUUCUAAUGUGAUCUUUUGGUAGUUUCAUUUUGAAUAUACUGUAGUCUCAAGGACCAAGAGUUUGUUAGUUUAAAGAUGUUCCAUUUUUAUGGUGUUGGUUGGUUGACGUUGUUUCUGCUCCUGUGCACUAAGGUGAAACCUGGAUAUCUUUGCUCUCUCUCUUUCUCUCUGUCGCCUGUUUAUCUGCUUCUAUCAGCUGUUCAUUUAACCAGCAGAAUGUCCGUUAUAGGUAGAAGACUGCUGGUAAGGCAGAGCGGUAAAGUAAAAUAGAAUCGGACUAAUUCAAAUACAAUUACUAGAACAGACAUUUCAAGUCGACCGUAUUCUAUGUGUAUGAUCAGACCUGCUGCCCUCGUCUCUAAACUGAAAGGUGAUCAGACCUGCUGCCCUCGUCUCUAAACUGAAAGGUGAUCUGACCUGCUGCCCUCGUCUCUAAACUGAAAGGUGAUCUGACCUGCUGCCCUCGUCUCUAAACUGAAAGGUGAUCUGACCUGCUGCCCUCGUCUCUAAACUGAAAGGUGGUCUGACCUGCUGCCCUCGUCUCUAAACUGAAAGGUGAUCAGACCUGCUGCCUCAUGGUGAAGCCAUUGUCCAGCUGACAGACUGGUAUAAUGUGUGGAUUAGCGUCUAUAUAUAUAUAUUCUGUCUGUUCUUAAUGCUGGGUCAGAACACUGAGGGAGGUCAUAGGUCCGCUUUUCAGUCUGUCCAAUGGGCAUAGAGAACACAUACUGUACAUGAUAGAGAUGCCUCAUCCGCUAACGUGAUAUUGAGAGUGAGCUUACAAUAUGAAGCGCUGUCGGGAAUAGACAUUUUACAGGGAUGAUAACCUUUUUAAUUCAGCAAGUUUCUGUCAAGAGGUUUGACUUGAAGGUCACUUCCACUCCAAAACGAUCAUUUUUGGGGCGUUUGUUUCAUUAGUCCACUGUUGUUACAAUCCCCCAAAUUUUUUUUCAAGAUAUAGAACUUUGAAAACGCUAAUUGUCACUUGCCACACCAUCAAUAUAUUUAUACUGUAGGCCUACUGUAUAAUUACACUGAAAUAUUUAGUAUUUAUGGUCAAGUUUAACAUGAACAUUGUGUAGGCUAAUCAAAUGUUAUUUGUCACAUGCUUAAUAAAUAACAGGGGUAGAUUAAAGUAAGCAUUUCACUGUUAGUCCAUACCUGUUGUUUACAAAGCAUGUGACAAAUAACUUUGAGAUUUGAAUCCUACAGCCAUCUGGUUACAGGUUCUCUCCUUUUGUAUGUUCACGGUUGGGCAUAAUGUCAACAUGGUGAUGUACUUUCGAUGUGACCAGCAGAGCAAUGCCAGUGUUAGUCAGCAACGUCUUUAUUGGUGGCAUGGCACACUUUUAUACACACCAUAUCUAUCUUUAGUCUUGCCUUAUAAACUUUUCAAAGAACAGUCACCGACCAACAUACAAUUCACUUGAUGCUUGUACAUGUAAAUAAAGUAGCCGUAUACUGUA